GGGUUAGACGAUGGUCGAUAUCUAAAGGAUGUUGACUUGUACAAGUAGCAAGCAAAAUUGUUGUUUAAAAACUUAUCUAAAGGCCAACAUGAAUCAUUGAGACUGUCAAUUUAGACUGGACCGUACUUUUUCCAGUAUGCUUAA
Molecule: ribosomal RNA, 144 nt
Filed under: Triticum aestivum (bread wheat)
Lineage: Eukaryota; Viridiplantae; Streptophyta; Magnoliopsida; Poales; Poaceae
Description: partial small subunit ribosomal RNA
Source: RNAcentral